Molecule: ribosomal RNA, 497 nt
Filed under: uncultured bacterium
Lineage: Bacteria
Description: partial 16S ribosomal RNA
Rfam family: Bacterial small subunit ribosomal RNA
Source: RNAcentral
GAUGAACGCUGGCGGCGUGCCUAAUACAUGCAAGUCGAGCGAACGGACGAGAAGCUUGCUUCUCUGAUGUUAGCGGCGGACGGGUGAGUAACACGUGGAUAACCUACCUAUAAGACUGGGAUAACUUCGGGAAACCGGAGCUAAUACCGGAUAAUAUUUUGAACCGCAUGGUUCAAAAGCGAAAGACGGUCUUGCUGUCACUUAUAGAUGGAUCCGCGCUGCAUUAGCUAGUUGGUAAGGUAACGGCUUACCAAGGCAACGAUGCAUAGCCGACCUGAGAGGGUGAUCGCCCACACUGGAACUGGGACACGGUCCAGACUCCUACGGGAGGCAGCAGUAGGGAAUCUUCCGCAAUGGGCGAAAGCCUGACGGAGCAACGCCGCGUGAGUGAUAACGGUCUUCGGAUCGUAAAACUCUGUUAUUAGGGAAGAACAUAUGUGUAAGUAACUGUGCACAUCUUGACGGUACCUAAUCAGAAAGCCACGGCUAACUACGUG